Long non-coding RNA from Boleophthalmus pectinirostris (great blue-spotted mudskipper), 863 nucleotides. RefSeq lists it as uncharacterized. Lineage: Eukaryota; Metazoa; Chordata; Actinopteri; Gobiiformes; Gobiidae. The record is from RefSeq and is a predicted model, not a curated record. The transcript is spliced from 3 exons.
UUUGAUUCCCUGUUGGAAGUUGUGUUCCAUUCUACUAGAGCAGAGCUGCAAGAAACAGGAGUGUGGAGGAGACACACACACAGAAGAGACAAAGGGACAAACAAAGACAAAACAGCAGAGACAAAAACAAACGACACGAGAAAGAACAUCUGAUCUCCUCCUUCUGUCCAAGAACCAAUGAGAACAUGUUUGAAGUCAACUGUGUCCCAAGAACAUUUAUAUUCAUAAAGUAUUAGGCCCAUUCUUUAAAUGGAUAAAUAAACUGUUUUUCAUGAAAUGAAACUGUCCAGGUUUAAAAGACGAGUAAAACAACACCAUCCUACAGCAGAAAUACAGUAACUGUUUUUGUUUUCAUGAUUUUAUUUUUUUCUUUACAGAUUGAUUGUUGAGAUUGGGAGUGAAAGGAUGUAUCUGAACUUGUCACUUCUGUUCUGAGUUCUUCUCUAAUGAGCUCUUGUCUCCUCCUCCAGACUGAGCAGCUGUAACCUGUCAGAGAGAAGCUGUGAAGCUCUGUCCUCAGUCCUCAGCUCCCAGUCCUCUAGUCUGACAGUCCUGGACCUCAGUCUCAACCACCUGAAGGACUCAGGGCUGAAGAAGUUGUGUGUUGGACUGAAGAGUCGUCACUGUAAACUGGAACAGCUCAGACUGUCAGGUUGUCUGCUCUCAGAGGAAGGCUGUGCUUCUCUGGCCUCAGCUCUGAGGUCCAACCAACCUCCCAUCUGAUAGAACUGGACCUGAGCUACAACCAUCCAGGAAACACAGGAGUAAAGCUCCUGUGUGCUCUACAGGAGGACCCCCACUGCACACUGGACACUCUCAGACUGACACCUGCUGGAGAACGAUGGAUGAAUCCAGUCCGGAGA